UGGGGAAUAUUGGACAAUGGGCGAAAGCCUGAUCCAGCCAUGCCGCGUGUGUGAAGAAGGUCUUCGGAUUGUAAAGCACUUUAAGUUGGGAGGAAGGGCAGUAAGCGAAUACCUUGCUGUUUUGACGUUACCGACAGAAUAAGCACCGGCUAACUCUGUGCCAGCAGCCGCGGUAAUACAGAGGGUGGAGGCGUUAAUCGGAAUUACUGGGCGUAAAGCGCGCGUAGGUGGUUCGUUAAGUUGAAUGUGAAAGCCCCGGGCUCAACCUGGGAACUGCAUCCAAAACUGGCGAGCUAGAGGAGGGCAGAGGGUGGUGGAAUUUCCUGUGUAGCGGUGAAAUGCGUAGAUAUAGGAAGGAACACCAGUGGCGAAGGCGACCACCUGGGCUCAUACUGACACUGAGGUGCGAAAGCGUGGGGAGCAAACAGG
Molecule: ribosomal RNA, 429 nt
Filed under: Pseudomonadota bacterium
Lineage: Bacteria; Pseudomonadati; Pseudomonadota
Description: Proteobacteria bacterium partial 16S ribosomal RNA
Rfam family: Bacterial small subunit ribosomal RNA
Source: RNAcentral